CGCACUACCCCCUUCCCCUUUCUUCUUCUCCUCUCUUCUUCUAACGUUGCGGGCUUUUAGCAAACCCAACAAUGGAGGUCACAUUAGCCCCACCCAACCCUCGCCUCCUCUCUCACACACACCUUUUAGUAGGCAAAAUGAAGCACCCGUAACGCCAAUUUGAAAAACCCCUCUCUCUUCCCCACUUUUUCUCUCUCAAAUUUUCAAGAAUAGUGAACUUCACCAUCAUACCCAAUGCAGCCAUUAGAGUCUCUUUAUAGACCAUUUUUGUACCUUUUUUUUUUUUGUGUUAUGAAUUGGAGGUGGAAGUGUAACAGAUGUAUCUCAGAGGUUUAUGGUGAGGUAAAGUGCUCGAUUUUUUCCGUUUGUUGGCGAAAAAAAUGGAGAUGGUCGGAAUUCUUUUUUCCGUUUCAGUUCCUUCUAAAAAGGUUGUCGUGGAGCAUCCAAUUAAUGCCGGAGGGUUGAAGACAAUUAAAAGAAAUUUGUGGAGAUGAAGUAUUAGAUAUCUUAGAUUAACUUUGAAUUGUAUUAUUAAACUGGCAUGUAAUAAAUUUUUAUUCUUGUAAAUUAGUUUUAGGAAGUGUUAUGGAAUGAUACAUAAAAGACAUGUUUGUCCUUCAAAUGUUCGUUAGGCCUACCUCUGGCAUAAAGAGGUCCCUUGCAUUAUAGAACGCGAUGUAUUAUGUGCAAUAAUGUGUUUAUAUGCAAUAAUAUGUCCUUACCGCA
Long non-coding RNA from Lycium barbarum (goji berry), 726 nucleotides. RefSeq lists it as uncharacterized. The record is from RefSeq and is a predicted model, not a curated record. Lineage: Eukaryota; Viridiplantae; Streptophyta; Magnoliopsida; Solanales; Solanaceae. The transcript has 2 exons.